GGGUGAUUAGCUCAAUUGGUAGAGCAUCUCCUUUACACGGAGAAGGUCGGCGGUUCGAGACCGUCAUCACCCA
Molecule: transfer RNA, 73 nt
Organism: Buchnera aphidicola str. Bp (Baizongia pistaciae)
Lineage: Bacteria; Pseudomonadati; Pseudomonadota; Gammaproteobacteria; Enterobacterales; Erwiniaceae
Rfam family: tRNA
About the family: Transfer RNA (tRNA) molecules are approximately 80 nucleotides in length. Their secondary structure includes four short double-helical elements and three loops (D, anti-codon, and T loops).
Source: Rfam